This 83-nucleotide small nucleolar RNA is filed under the name Chinchilla lanigera (long-tailed chinchilla). Its description in RNAcentral is "Small nucleolar RNA MBII-202 (ENSCLAG00000019915.1)". It matches the Rfam family "Small nucleolar RNA MBII-202". From Rfam's summary of the family: MBII-202 is a member of the C/D class of snoRNA which contain the C (UGAUGA) and D (CUGA) box motifs. Most of the members of the box C/D family function in directing site-specific 2'-O-methylation of substrate RNAs. The record is from RNAcentral. Lineage: Eukaryota; Metazoa; Chordata; Mammalia; Rodentia; Chinchillidae.
UGAUGACAGUUCUCCGGAAUCGCUGCACCGCUGUGAUGAAAGCACGCUUGAACCCUUUUCCAUCUGACACUGAGGGCUUUUUC